UACGAAGGGUGCAAGCGUUACUCGGAAUUACUGGGCGUAAAGCGUGCGUAGGCGGUUUGUUAAGUCCGCUGUGAAAGCCCUGGGCUCAACCUGGGAAUUGCAGUGGAUACUGGCAAGCUAGAGUGCGGUAGAGGAUGGUGGAAUUCCCGGUGUAGCGGUGAAAUGCGUAGAGAUCGGGAGGAACACCCGUGGCGAAGGCGGCCAUCUGGACCCGCACUGACGCUGAGGCACGAAAGCGUGGGGAGCAAACAGG
RNAcentral lists this ribosomal RNA (253 nucleotides) under uncultured bacterium. RNAcentral's name for it is "partial 16S ribosomal RNA". It matches the Rfam family "Bacterial small subunit ribosomal RNA", at positions 524 to 776 of the family's 1533-position model. The record is from RNAcentral.